Molecule: long non-coding RNA, 1095 nt
Organism: Salmo salar (Atlantic salmon)
Lineage: Eukaryota; Metazoa; Chordata; Actinopteri; Salmoniformes; Salmonidae
Source: RefSeq, a predicted model, not a curated record
AAACAGUUUGCCAGAAGUAGUUCCAAGACCAGUAAGCAUUGAUGACCAGUCAGUGGGAGAAGAAAAAUCUAUUGGAAGUGAUCUACCUACCGAAGUUGUACAAUGGAUACCCUUCCCCCACCCGUCGUGUUGGAAGAGGCUGCAUUGGGAAGAGAAUGCAUCAACAUCCUGGAAAGAUGUUUGUGGUGCAUUCACUCAUAACACUUUUUUUGUGAUAAAUGAGUGUAACGUAAUCUUCUUCAAGCUUGAUAAGAAGCAAACAGUUACUGUUGGUGCUGACAUCUUCAGGACAGGAAUACCGGUUUACUUAACGGAGGAAUAAGCACACAUGUUCAUCAUUGGUGCUUUAACCAGAACCGGGGAAAAUGCACUUUAUUUAUUUUCGCACAUGCGCAGUCAUACAUCUCUCAUAGGGCAUGACUGUACCAGUGUAAGAACACAACUCAACAACAUAUUAGUCCACAUGCCAACAGUUACCAAGCAAAAACACAGAUUGAUUAGUUUGAAUCAAAUGUGUUGCCGCUUGGCUGGAGAAAUCUCUCUAGGAACAGUUGACCACACAUUUAAAUUUAGAUUUAAUAGGCCUGAGUUCCAGGUUAUGCUAGCUAAAAAAUUUUGUUAGUAUAGCUGACAGCUGACCCCAGCUGUUACAAAUAGCUGACUCCAGAUGUUACAAAGUUUUGGCUUUCAAAGCCAAACCUGCCCAUUAGCCACUGAAUCUAAGAUGCUGAAAUAGAACACGUUUUCAGUAAUUGUUUUCAGUAUCUUAAUGUUGUUUUGUGUUUUCUGAUUGUUUCAGUGCAUGCAGUCAUUAAGCUUUGGACGAAGGACUUCCACAGGGCCGCCAUCUCCAAAGUUCACUCAAAAAGGCAAUAGUUGUGAAGUGGGUUUGAUUUGUAUUUUUUUUGCAUAUUAUUUUUUUUUCACUUCCAUUGGUUGAAACCUAAUUUCUCAUCAGUAAUCACUUAGUUCAUGAACAUUCGGAAGUUAAACAUCCUAAGGUUACAAUCCCCAUAACCCAUAGAGUUCACAUUUCACUCAUGUAAAUAUUGUAGCUUCAUAAAAAGAUUAAAUAAACAAUUUAUUUGGGGAAUA